AGCUCAGUUGGUAGAGCGCUGCCUUUGCAAGGCAGAUGUCAGGAGUUCGGUACUUAUC
This 58-nucleotide transfer RNA is filed under the name Mycobacterium farcinogenes. Its description in RNAcentral is "Mycolicibacterium farcinogenes tRNA-Ala". The record is from RNAcentral. Lineage: Bacteria; Bacillati; Actinomycetota; Actinomycetes; Mycobacteriales; Mycobacteriaceae.